RNAcentral lists this long non-coding RNA (826 nucleotides) under Olea europaea subsp. europaea. The record is from RNAcentral. Lineage: Eukaryota; Viridiplantae; Streptophyta; Magnoliopsida; Lamiales; Oleaceae.
UACUAGUAAUUCAACCCGCUCACCUCACUCCCACACCAUCCCCUCUCUCUCUCUCUCACCACCCACUACUCACCGGCUGCCCCAACCCACCAUGGACGUGGAGAAAGAUGAGGAAUUAGAUGAAGAGGAACCCCAUGUAAUAUUUGGUCAAACGUCUAAGAUGGGAAGAGGGAGUAAAAAGGCGAAUACUUCACAACCAGAAAAACAACUUAGAAUCACAAUGCCAACAUAAGGUAAUAAUCAUAUCUUAAUUUAAUUUAGACAACUCAUAUGAUUAUUUGGGGGCGAUAACAUCACUAAUUGUCUGUCCACCUUUUGUAUUUUUAGAAUGUGUUGGUAUGGAGAAGAAAACUAUAUUAGAGCUUUAAUUAGGCAUAAGAAGACCGUGGGAUGGCGUGGAGAAGAAAACUAUCACGAUGGUGGUCGCGACAAUGGUGAUCGACGACGAUGAUGAUGUCGCAUGGUCGGGCAAUGGAUUUGAGAAAGAUGAGAUGACAGGUGUGAUUUGGGUGGUGAGUUCGGUGGCUGAGAUUGAAGAAUUCAGCGUUUGUGAUUUGGUGAGCAGUGGCAAAGUUGGGUAUUGGUGUAAAGAUUGGCUAUAGAUUGAAAGAGUCAGUGGUGAUCGAAAUGAUGGUGAAGAAAUUGUUUGGAGUUGGAUUUUACCCAAAAGAAGUUGUCGGCAAUUUGGAAUAAGUGGUGGUCAAAAUUUUAGUGCUCGAUGGGUGGAGACACUCGGCGUAGCGUGGGGUUGGGGAAGAAGAUUCAAUUUUUUAUCUCUAUUUGUUUUUAAUUGUUUUGUAUGCAAAUAUAUAAAAUAACUAGUUUA